GCCAUUUUGUACCUGGAUCCAAUUGGUGGACCUUGGGACUCUAGCAAAAGAGAGAGAGAGAAAGGGAAGGAAGGAAGGAAGGAAGGAAGGAAGGAAGGAAGGAAGGAAGGAAGGAAGGAAGGUAGGUAGGUGCUGUCUUCCAAGUGCAAAGAUACAAGAUGUGGAAGAGAAGUUGCCAAGUCUUAUAAAUCCCACUGACUACUACCUCCUCCUUCUGAUUCAUGGAGCAGAAAGGCAUUACCAUUUAUGAUGACCUUCCCACCUCCUGGACUACUGUUUUCAGAAGCCCACAGAGGGGACCCAUGAUUUGGAUAAAACUGGACAGUGUCUGGUGUGGGCCAUGUGAAUUUCAUUGACCUGUAUCCCCAUAAUUCUAGCACUGAGGUUGUCUUCAUAUUUCUUCUAGAGUCCAGAUGAAAGGGCCACAACUAAGUGGAGUUUGUCUGCCCAGUAUUUAUUUCAGUCUCUUUUCUAAAGCGUUUCAUUGGAUUUCUAAACUCUCAGCUGCACCAGAUGGAAAAAGACCUCACCUAAUCAGUGACAAUUCUGUGAAAAUUCUGAUGAUUCAAAAGGCAUUUCCUGCUUAGGACUGACUGUUCUUUCUUUCUGCUGGCUGAGUUAUAGGCAAUAAAAUAUACCUUUGCAGAAGGAAACGCCCUGUAGUG
Non-coding RNA from Podarcis muralis (Common wall lizard), 665 nucleotides. NCBI's taxonomy places the organism in Eukaryota, Metazoa, Chordata, Lepidosauria, Squamata, Lacertidae. The record is from RefSeq and is a predicted model, not a curated record.